UCCACCGGGCAAGCUAGGUCCUCCCAUGCUCUGAGCCCUAAGGACCCUGCCCGAGGAGCUCUCGGGGAAUUGGGGGCGGUCCCCCUAUGGAGGGUGCGACAGGGAAAGCCCCGAGUCCGCCCUCCCUGGGAAUCACCCGCACGCCCCGGGGUCUAGUUUGUUCCAGCCGGGGUGGGGGUGGGGUGCGAGCCGCGGAGGGGUUGGUGGAGCCGCGCGGCAAUGUCAGGUUCACCCUCCAGCCGCUGCGGGCUCCCCCGGCCUGGCGCGCGCCUCUGGUGGACCCCAAGGUCUGCCCGAGCCCUCCCGGAGCGCCCGGCGGCUGGUUUCCAUUAGGGCAGUUCCCGGCGCCGACUUCGCUGGGGGCGGGGAAGGUGACCCCCAACUCGGAUCCCUCAGGUCCUAAAGGUAGCAGGAUUUCCAGAACUCUCCAGGGAUCUCUCCGGAGCCUAGGGAGUAAGGCAAGGAAGGGGCGUAUUUGGCGAGCCAGCCUGCCAGCUCUGCUCCAUCCAGACUCCAGAAGAAACACCCCCCACACCCGUCGUGGGAUCUCCCAGGGCCUUGGGCCAUUUAUUCCCUGAGUGGCCUAACCAGAGAAAUCCGUUCUUUUCCCUCAAAACUUGUAAAGCAGCCGGCUCCUCAGCUUCAGGAGCGUGGCCCUUCCUUAGCAGGCGUUGGGGAGGGGGUCAGUGGAGGGGCGUGAGGACUGGAUUUGGGGUGGUUGGUGCCUGUCAUCCAGCUGGAGAGAGGGAGGCUGAAAGGAGAGACGUUUUCAGGAGGUGGAGGCUUCAGAAUUUGGAUGCCUGUGAGAGGGAGAGGACCGGGAGCCUCCCUUGUGCUGAGAGGCUGGUGGCUGCUUUUGUCCCCUACAGGCUGAAGACGAUUCCUCUCUGGCGCCUGUGAACCUCAGGGCGCCAUGGUACAUCCUGAAGUGAAGACUGCGGUGUGGCCUCCAGGAUGGAAGCCUUCCCAGUCCUGUAGCCACCUGCAGACUCUCACAAGCACUGUGUUCCCAGAAAAAAAGCUUCUACCCCAGGCUCAGCGGAUCUGGGAGAAAGCAGGAAGCCCUGAAGGUUUUUCACCCUGGGGGUGAGCUUGCAUAAUUGAAGAUAUAUUUGAGGAAAAUUGUACAGAUAGUCCCAACUUAGCACUGUUUCACUUUAUGAUGGUGUGGAAGUGAUAGCAUUCAGUAGAAAUUGUACUUUGAGUGCCAAUACAAUCACUAUUUCUCACCUUCAGUGCAGUAUUCAAUAAAUUACAUGAGAUAGUCAACACUUUCCUAUAAAAUACACUUUGUGUAAGAUGAUUCUGCCCAAAUGUAAGGCUAAUGCAAGUACUCUGAGCACAUUUAAGGGAAGGCUGGGCUAAGCGAUGAUAUUCCAUAAGUUAGGCACAUUUAAUGUAUUUUAAACAUAGGAUAUUCUCAACUUGCAAGGGUUUAUCAGAACGUGACAUCAUUAGUCACUCAAGGACCAUCUGUGCUACUAAUGACAUAGAUGCUGGCUGGAGGAAAGCAGGCAAUAGCCAGGGGACACAGCAGGGAAGAAGUGACGUUUUUAAAGACAGAGACCAGUUUUAAAUAUUGCUAAGAAAGACCUUGUAGAGAGAAGCUGGUGAUACUGGAGACAGCAUGCAACAAAGAGCCCCGAAGAACAAGGAGAGCAUAGAGUCUCCUCUUCUGGGAGCAGAAGGAGUGUCGACUUAAAUAGGGAGGAAAGAUGAACCUUGCAGACAACCUGCAAAACCCAGUCUCAGAAAUACCCGCCUGCACCUAAAACCUUAGUCACUGAGAGUCUGAAAGAGCAAUGAUUAUGUGAAAUCUUGGUAGUGGGUACAUGUGGUUUCAUUAGAUUAUUCUUUGUAUCUAUAUUUCUACUAUCUUAAAAUAAACACUAUAAGUUUUAAAACUA
Long non-coding RNA from Sapajus apella (tufted capuchin), 1907 nucleotides. RefSeq lists it as uncharacterized. Lineage: Eukaryota; Metazoa; Chordata; Mammalia; Primates; Cebidae. The transcript has 2 exons. The record is from RefSeq and is a predicted model, not a curated record.